Molecule: long non-coding RNA, 1459 nt
Filed under: Chrysolophus pictus (golden pheasant)
Lineage: Eukaryota; Metazoa; Chordata; Aves; Galliformes; Phasianidae
Description: lncRNA (ENSCPIG00010011012.1)
Source: RNAcentral
CCCUGGUUCUGGAAAGGUUGAAAGCAAGUGCUGAGGAGAAAAUGACAGAGAAGGGCAAAGAAAUUCAAGUGGCAGAGAACCUUGCAGAAUGAGAAUGCAUCAAUAUACAGCAAUGCAAAGACUACAGGGCCAGAAAGGGAAAAGGGAAACAAAGGGCAUUCCCGGGAAAUUGAAGUUUCCAGUGGAAAAGGCACAGCAGCUGAACAGUCUGAAACCGCUCACACCACUUCUGAGCCUGUUCUGAGAAGGGGGGAACAAAGCUUUAAGAAGUUUCCAUUCCCUCCUUGCUCAGGACUACCUGGUCUCCUGGGAUUCUGCAUCCCCAUCCCCACUGUCCUUUCCCUGGUUACUCAGGAUCCCUUCCAACCACUACAACACCUGCCUGGCAUCUCCUUAUGCUCCUUUCCUGCUAAGCCCCUGCAACACAGAUUUUGUGGGCUGCACAUGACCUGCACAUAAAUCAGGUGGAUGAAAAAAAGAGGGAGAGGUGGAUUAAAAAAAGAGCAACUGGCCAUCGGUUAUCAGCACUGGGGACUUCAACCACAUGGGUAAUUGCCCUUGCUGAUGACAGGACUAACCUUGGCUAUCAUAUCAUUUUCUAGCUUAACAGAAAUCUUCCUGUGUGCUGUCCACUCUUCCAAAACAACUGGAAAAGUCCAGACUGGAGUGGGCUGGAAGCUAUGUCAAUGAAAAUCAGAGAUUUCAAUCAAAUUAAUAUGGCAAUAUGCUAGCUGGGACGGCUGGGGACCAACCAGGUCACUUGUUCUACCAUAGGCUUCUUCUGACAGCAUGAAGCUCUGGCUGGGGUGAGGUGGGCAGGAAGAAGGCAGCAACCUUCUCAAGCAGCUCUGCAGCAUCCAGCAGACAGCUUGAAUCAAAGCACCAGAAUGAAUUUGAGCAUGCCAGGAUGCCAUGCUAACUCUUCCUCAAACUUCAGCACUCUACAUAAUAUUUUUAUUCAAAUACCAGAAUAACAGACUGCAUAUUAGAAAUCUUUUUUCUCUUUCAGUAUUCACUCUGCACACUCGACCCGCCUCCAUGCACAUAAACACAUUUGAGCUUCUAGCAGUCCAGCUAUACUCGUCCUAGCGAAACCCUCUAGGGCAAAUGGGAGUAAUACCAGCCAAAAGUGCUUUGGGUAGUGCACCUUUUAGUCUGGUUCACUGAUGUAAAUGAACUCUGUCAGGGGAAAAAAAAAUGUUUGUUUUCAUGCUUGAUGUUGGUAUAACUGCAGCUGCCAUAAAAAUAUUGCUGGAAAUGUCACUGCAGAAUCACACCCUGACUGACAAUGAAAUACCAGCCAACGUUUCUAGCAUAAAUCUUGCAUAAAGAAAGUGCCAAGGUUAAAUUUCUAGGGCAAAGGGAUGCGGGCAGACCCAGCAGGCAAGAAUUUAAAAGGAAAGGAAAAAGAAAGGUACCUUAGGAGAAAACAAUUCUAUUAUUAGAUAGAUAUUCAUUC